GAUGAACGCUGGCGGCGUGCCUAAUACAUGCAAGUCGAGCGAACGGACGAGGCGCUUGCGUCUCUGAUGUUAGCGGCGGACGGGUGUGUAACACGUGGAUCACCUCCCUGUAAGACUGGGAUAACUUCGGAAAACCGGCGCUAAUACCGGAUGAUCUUUUGAACCGCAUGGUUCAAAAGUGAGAUACGGUCUUGCUGUCUGUUAUAGAUGGAUCUCGGCUGCAUUGGCUGGUUGGUAAGGUCACGGGUUACCAAGGCAACGAGGCAUAGCCGACGGCUGAGGCUGGUAGCCCACCUGGGAGCGUGGACACGGUCCAUACUCCUACGGGAGGCAGCAGUAGGGUAUGUGCCGCAAUGGUGGAAAGUCUUGCGGAGUAACGCCACGUGAGUGAUGAAGGCGUUCGGAUCGGAAAACUGUGUUAUUAGUUAUAAACAUAUGUGGAAUUAACUGUGCACAGCGUGACGGUACCUAAUCAGAAAGCACCGGCUAACUACGUG
This 497-nucleotide ribosomal RNA is filed under the name uncultured bacterium. RNAcentral's name for it is "partial 16S ribosomal RNA". It matches the Rfam family "Bacterial small subunit ribosomal RNA", at positions 28 to 507 of the family's 1533-position model. The record is from RNAcentral.